CAGUAGCCGCGGGAAUACGUAGGGCGCAAGCGUUAUCCGGAAUUAUUGGGCGUAAAGCGUGCGUAGGCGGUGAGUUAAGUCUGCUGUGAAAUCCCCGGGCUCAACCUGGGAAUGGCAGUGGAUACUGGCUCGCUAGAGUGUGUCAGAGGAUGGUGGAAUUCCCGGUGUAGCGGUGAAAUGCGUAGAGAUCGGGAGGAACAUCAGUGGCGAAGGCGGCCAUCUGGGACAACACUGACGCUGAGGCACGAAAGCGUGGGGAGCAAACAGGAUUAGAUACCCCCGUAGUCCCUGUCUCUUAUAC
RNAcentral lists this ribosomal RNA (301 nucleotides) under uncultured bacterium. RNAcentral describes it as "partial 16S ribosomal RNA". It matches the Rfam family "Bacterial small subunit ribosomal RNA", at positions 509 to 807 of the family's 1533-position model. The record is from RNAcentral.